AUUAUCAAAGUUACCCCAAAACAGAAAACCAACUUUCGAUUAUAUGAAAAAUUAGGUAUCCAUUCAAAAUAAAUCUUAUGGCAAUCUAUCGGCUGCAAUCGAUAGCAAGGAUGCCAGCACUUGUUUUAAAAAUAUAAAUUAUAAUUAU
Molecule: long non-coding RNA, 148 nt
Organism: Aedes aegypti (yellow fever mosquito)
Lineage: Eukaryota; Metazoa; Arthropoda; Insecta; Diptera; Culicidae
Exons: 2
Source: RefSeq, a predicted model, not a curated record